GGAAGCGUGGCCGAGUGGUUGAAGGCGACAGUCUUGAAAACUGUUGUACCUGAAAAGGUACCGGGGGUUCGAAUCCCUCCGCUUCCGCCA
RNAcentral lists this transfer RNA (90 nucleotides) under Candidatus Moraniibacteriota bacterium. Its description in RNAcentral is "Candidatus Moranbacteria bacterium (sediment metagenome) tRNA-Ser". It matches the Rfam family "tRNA". Rfam says of the family: Transfer RNA (tRNA) molecules are approximately 80 nucleotides in length. Their secondary structure includes four short double-helical elements and three loops (D, anti-codon, and T loops). The record is from RNAcentral. Lineage: Bacteria; Candidatus Moraniibacteriota.